CCCGCUGAACUUAAGCAUAUCAAUAAGCGGAGGAAAAGAAACUAACAAGGAUUCCCCUAGUAACGGCGAGUGAAGCGGGAAAAGCUCAAAUUUAAAAUCUGGCUGUCUUAGAUAGUCCGAGUUGUAAACUAGAGAAGUGUUUUCUGCGCUGGACUGUGUACAAGUCUCUUGGAAUAGAGCGUCAUAGAGGGUGAGAAUCCCGUCUUUGACACAGACAACCAGGGCUAUAUGAUACACUCUCGAAGAGUCGAGUUGUUUGGGAAUGCAGCUCAAAAUGGGUGGUAAAUUCCAUCUAAAGCUAAAUACAGGCGAGAGACCGAUAGCGAACAAGUACCGUGAGGGAAAGAUGAAAAGCACUUUGGAAAGAGAGUUAAACAGUACGUGAAAUUGCUGAAAGGGAAACGCUUGAAGUCAGUCGCGUUAGUUGAGACUCAGCCUUGCUUUUGCUUGGUGCACUUCUUAGCUGACGGGUCAACAUCAAUUUUGGACGCUGGAAAAAGGUUAGGGGAAUGUGGCUCCCUCGGGAGUGUUAUAGCCCUUGGCUGUAUACAGCGGCUGGGAUUGAGGACCGCAGUGCGCCUUUAUGGUCGGGGUUCGCCCUCGUUCGCACUUAGGAUGUUGGCAUAAUGACUUUAAGCGACCCGUCUUGAAACACGG
Molecule: ribosomal RNA, 657 nt
Filed under: uncultured fungus
Lineage: Eukaryota; Fungi
Description: eukaryotic LSU rRNA
Rfam family: Eukaryotic large subunit ribosomal RNA
Source: RNAcentral